GACGUAGGUGGCGAACGUUAUCCGGAAUUAUUGGGCGUAAAGAGCGUGUAGGCGGCCAGAUAGGUCCGUUGUGAAAACUCGAGGCUCAACCUCGAGACGCCGAUGGAAACCAUCUGGCUAGAGUCCGGAAGAGGAGAGUGGAAUUCCUGGUGUAGCGGUGAAAUGCGCAGAUAUCAGGAAGAACACCCGUGGCUAAGGCGGCUCUCUAGUACGGUACUGACGCUGAGACGCGAAAGCGUGGGGAGCGAACAGG
This 253-nucleotide ribosomal RNA is filed under the name uncultured bacterium. RNAcentral's name for it is "partial 16S ribosomal RNA". It matches the Rfam family "Bacterial small subunit ribosomal RNA", at positions 524 to 776 of the family's 1533-position model. The record is from RNAcentral.